This 429-nucleotide ribosomal RNA is filed under the name Gemmatimonadota bacterium. RNAcentral's name for it is "Gemmatimonadetes bacterium partial 16S ribosomal RNA". It matches the Rfam family "Bacterial small subunit ribosomal RNA", at positions 355 to 776 of the family's 1533-position model. The record is from RNAcentral. Lineage: Bacteria; Pseudomonadati; Gemmatimonadota.
UAGGGAAUCUUUGGCAAUGGACGAAAGUCUGACCGAGCAACGCCGCGUGAGUGAAGAAGGUUUUCGGAUCGUAAAACUCUGUUGUUAGAGAAGAACAAGGACGUUAGUAACUGAACGUCCCCUGACGGUAUCUAACCAGAAAGCCACGGCUAACUACGUGCCAGCAGCCGCGGUAAUACGUAGGUGGCAAGCGUUGUCCGGAUUUAUUGGGCGUAAAGCGAGCGCAGGCGGUUUCUUAAGUCUGAUGUGAAAGCCCCCGGCUCAACCGGGGAGGGUCAUUGGAAACUGGGGGACUUGAGGGCAGAAGGGGAGAGGGGAAUUCCAGGUGUAGCGGUGAAAUGCGUAGAUAUAUGGAGGAACACCAGUGGCGAAGGCGGCUCUCUGGUCUGUAACUGACGCUGAGGCUCGAAAGCGGGGGGAGCAAACAGG